GCGAAGGUGGUGGAAUGGCAGACACGCUACUUUGAGGGGGUAGUGGGCGUUAGCCCGUGUGGGUUCAAGUCCCAUCCUUCGCA
Molecule: transfer RNA, 83 nt
Filed under: Oscillospiraceae bacterium
Lineage: Bacteria; Bacillati; Bacillota; Clostridia; Eubacteriales; Oscillospiraceae
Description: tRNA-Leu
Rfam family: tRNA
About the family: Transfer RNA (tRNA) molecules are approximately 80 nucleotides in length. Their secondary structure includes four short double-helical elements and three loops (D, anti-codon, and T loops). Further hydrogen bonds mediate the characteristic L-shaped molecular structure. tRNAs have two regions of fundamental functional importance: the anti-codon, which is responsible for specific mRNA codon recognition, and the 3' end, to which the tRNAs corresponding amino acid is attached (by aminoacyl-tRNA synthetases). tRNAs cope with the degeneracy of the genetic code in two manners: having more than one tRNA (with a specific anti-codon) for a particular amino acid; and 'wobble' base-pairing, i.e. permitting non-standard base-pairing at the 3rd anti-codon position.
Source: RNAcentral